UUUGGGGAGUUCUCAAAGCAGGUGGGAAUUACUCCUGUUGAAGAGGGCUCUACACCCUCUUCAUCACCAUUGUGGAUAGCAUGGCCAGCCCCAGAAGACCCAUCCCCAAGGCACAAAGAGCAGAAACCUAUGGCCUGUCUGAAAUAAUGAUAACUUUCACAUGUGCCAAGCAGCACUGCCGUUCCAUCCUUCUGGGAGGUGUGCAAACAUGACCGUGCUUCCUGCUUCCCAGCAGUUCAUAGUCCAGAUGCAACCCCCCCUUGUAAUUCGAUGUGCAGAGAGACUGCAAUGGAAGAUGUGGCAGGAAUUCCUCUUCCAGUUGACAUAAACCAGUAUUUUAACCAUGCCUUUUAUGUCCCAAUGAUCUAGCAUGAUUACUGUCAGUAUGGCUGAUAUAUCCCCAUGAAGCUCUCAUAAGGAUAUUGACCGCUGUACUUAAGGCCAAGUGAAUGACCGCAGAGAACCUCUGCUAAGUGUCCCAUCAACAUUUGUCUGUCCUGGGUAAGUUCAGUAAGCAUAUUUACUUGGA
Molecule: long non-coding RNA, 529 nt
Organism: Pezoporus flaviventris
Lineage: Eukaryota; Metazoa; Chordata; Aves; Psittaciformes; Psittacidae
Exons: 2
Source: RefSeq, a predicted model, not a curated record